GACGAACGCUGGCGGCGUGCCUAAUACAUGCAAGUCGAACGCUUCCUACCGGUGCUUGCACCGGGAAAGAAGAGUGGCGGACGGGUGAGUAACACGUGGGUAACCUACCUACAAGCGGGGGAUAACAUUCGGAAACGGAUGCUAAUACCGCAUAGAUCUUUUUGUCUCCUGGCAGAAAGAAGAAAGACGGUUUCGGCUGUCACUUGUAGAUGGACCCGCGGCGCAUUAGUUAGUUGGUGAGGUAAUGGCUCACCAAGACGAUGAUGCGUAGCCGACCUGAGAGGGUGAUCGGCCACACUGGGACUGAGACACGGCCCAGACUCCUACGGGAGGCAGCAGUAGGGAAUCUUCCGCAAUGGACGAAAGUCUGACGGAGCAACGCCGCGUGAGUGACGAAGGUUUUCGGAUCGUAAAACUCUGUUGUUAGAGAAGAACAAGGAUGAGAGUAACUGCUCGUCCCUUGACGGUAUCUAACCAGAAAGCCAUGGCUAGCUACGUGCCAGCAGCCGCCGUAA
RNAcentral lists this ribosomal RNA (515 nucleotides) under uncultured bacterium. RNAcentral's name for it is "partial 16S ribosomal RNA". It matches the Rfam family "Bacterial small subunit ribosomal RNA", at positions 28 to 523 of the family's 1533-position model. The record is from RNAcentral.